RNAcentral lists this long non-coding RNA (2307 nucleotides) under Scophthalmus maximus (turbot). RNAcentral's name for it is "lncRNA (ENSSMAG00000034697.1)". Lineage: Eukaryota; Metazoa; Chordata; Actinopteri; Pleuronectiformes; Scophthalmidae. The record is from RNAcentral.
AUGUUCCUAAUCAGUCUCUGUUCCUCAUCAGUCUUUGUUCCUCAUCAGUCUUUGUUCCUCAUCAGUCUUUGUUCCUUCAUAGUCUUUGUUCCAUCACAGUCUAUGUUCCUCAUCAGUCCUUGUUCCUCAUCAGUCUCUGUUCCUUUACAGUCUUUGUUCCUCAUCAGUCUCUGUUCCUUCACAGUCUCUGUUCCUCAUCAGUCUCUGUUCCUCAUCAGUCUUUGUUCCUCAUCAGUCUCUGUUCCUCAUCAGUCUUUGUUCCUAUCACAGUUUCUGUUCCUCAUCAGUCUUUGUUCCUCAUCAGUCUCUGUUCCUCAUCAGUCUUUGUUCCUCAUCAGUCUCUGUUCCUCAUCAGUCUUUGUUCCUAUCAGUCUUUGUUCCAUCACAGUCUAUGUUCCUCGUCAGUCCUUGUUCCUCGCCAAUCUUUGUUCCUUCACAGGCUUUGUUCCUCAUCAGUCUUUGUUCCUUCACAGUCUUUGUUCCUUCACAGUCUCUGUUCCUCAUCAGUCUUUGUUCCUUCACAGUCUUUGUUCCUUCACAGUGUCUGUUCCUCAUCAGUCUCUUUGUUCCUUCACAGUCUUUGUUCCUUCACAGUGUCUGUUCCUCAUCAGUCCUUGUUCCUCAUCAGUCUUUGUUCCUCGUCAAUCUUUGUUCCUUUUCAGUCUCUGUUCCUUCACAGUCUCUGUUCCUUCACAGUCUUUGUUUCUCAUCAGUCUCUGUUCCUUCACAGUCUUUGUUCCUCAUCAGUCUCUGUUCCUUCACAGUCUUUGUUCCUCAUCAGUCUCUGUUCCUUCACAGUCUCUGUUCCUCAUCAGUUUCUGUUCCUCAUCAGUCUUUGUUCCUCAUCAGUCUCUGUUCCUCAUCAGUCUUUGUUCCUAUCAGUCUUUGUUCCAUCACAGUCUAUGUUCCUCGUCAGUCCUUGUUCCUCGCCAAUCUUUGUUCCUUCACAGGCUUUGUUCCUCAUCAGUCUUUGUUCCUUCACAGUCUUUGUUCCUUCACAGUCUCUGUUCCUCAUCAGUCUUUGUUCCUUCACAGUCUUUGUUCCUUCACAGUGUCUGUUCCUCAUCAGUCCUUGUUCCUCAUCAGUCUUUGUUCCUUGUCAAUCUUUGUUCCUUUUCAGUCUCUGUUCCUUCACAGUCUCUGUUCCUUCACAGUCUCUGUUCCUCAUCAGUCUUUGUUUCUCAUCAGUCUCUGUUCCUCCACAGUCUUUGUUCCUCCACAGUCUCUGUUCCUCAUCAGUCUUUGUUCCUCAUCAGUCUUUGUUCCUUCACAGUCUCUGUUCCUUCACAGUCUCUGUUCCUUCACAGUCUUUGUUCCUUCACAGUCUUUGUUCCUCAUCAGUCUUUGUUCCUCAUCAGUCUUUGUUCCUCAUCAGUCUCUGUUCCUUCACAGUCUCUGUUCCUCAUCAGUCUCUGUUCCUUCACAGUCUUUGUUCCUCAUCAGUCUUUGUUCCUCAUCAGUCUUUGUUCCUCAUCAGUCUUUGUUCCUUAUCAGUCUUUAUUCCUCAUCAGUCUUUGUUCCUUCACAGUCUCUGUUCCUCAUCAGUCUUUGUUCCUCAUCAGUCUUUGUUCCUCAUCAGUCUUUGUUCCUCAUCAGUCUUUGUUCCUCAUCAGUCUUUGUUCCUCAUCAGUCUUUGUUCCUUCACAGUCUCUGUUCCUCAUCAGUCUCUGUUCCUCAUCAGUCUCUGUUCCUUCACAGUCUUUGUUCCUCAUCAGUCUUUGUUCCUCAUCAGUCUUUGUUCCUCAUCAGUCUUUGUUCCUUAUCAGUCUUUAUUCCUCAUCAGUCUUUGUUCCUUCACAGUCUCUGUUCCUCAUCAGUCUCUGUUCCUCAUCAGUCUUUAUUCCUCAUCAGUCUUUGUUCCUUCACAGUCUCUGUUCCUCAUCAGUCUCUGUUCCUCAUCAGUCUUUGUUCCUUCACAGUCUUUGUUCCUUCACAGUCUCUGUUCCUCAUCAGUCUCUGUUCCUCAUCAGUCUUUGUUCCUUCACAGUCUCUGUUCCUCAUCAGUCUUUGUUCCUCAUCAGUGUCUGUUCCUUCACAGUCUUUGUUCCUCAUCAGUCUUUGUUCCUCAUCAGUCUUUGUUCCUUCACAGUUUCUGUUCCUUCACAGUCUUUGUUCCUCAUCAGUCUUUGUUCCUCAUCAGUCUUUGUUCCUCAUCAGUCUUUCCUCAUCAUCGCCAUCACACUGGAAGCAGAAAGCUUCAGUAAUUGAAACUGAUUGGAUCUCAAUCAGUUUAAUCUGGUGAAACGUCCGGCUGCUUCCAUCAGCACAUUCAAUCCUCCACACGGCAAAACAAUCUCCCACUUAUUG